Molecule: non-coding RNA, 316 nt
Organism: Pelobates cultripes (western spadefoot toad)
Lineage: Eukaryota; Metazoa; Chordata; Amphibia; Anura; Pelobatidae
Source: the annotation of a GenBank genome assembly
CUCCUCCCUGAAGCUGUAAUUUUAACCAGCUGUAGUAACAUUUAACUUGACAAUAUUUCUGGAAUAAAUUAUUUCAGUUUUUUUUUAUAUAUAUAUUUGCUGUGGUUGAUCGUUUGGGGUAAAUGUAAGGAUUUGCAAAAGAAAUUUGGCCAAUUUCGGGCUUGCAAAUGCCUUUCAGCAAGUGAAGCUUGGAACCGCAGCAUAGCUAAUUGGGACAGAAAUAGCCCACAGCAGAAACAGACAGACGCUGUACAAAGGAUAGAAAACAUCACGUAGAAUCGUGUGAGUUUAGAACAAAUGUCCAAAACCUCUACAU